RNAcentral lists this transfer RNA (68 nucleotides) under Blethisa multipunctata. RNAcentral's name for it is "tRNA-Arg". The record is from RNAcentral. Lineage: Eukaryota; Metazoa; Arthropoda; Insecta; Coleoptera; Carabidae.
AAAUAAGAAGUAAAUUAUUACAUUUAGUUUCGACCUAAAAAUUUGAUGAAUUUAAUCAUCCUUAUUUA